CCUACGGGGGGCUGCAGUGGGGAAUUUUCCGCAAUGGGNGAAAGCCUGACGGAGCAAGACCGCGUGGGGGAGGAAGGUUCUUGGAUUGUCAACCCCUUUUCUCAGGGAAGAACAAAAUGACGGUACCUGAGGAAUCAGCAUCGGCUAACUCCGUGCCAGCAGCCGCGGUAAUACGGAGGAUGCAAGCGUUAUCCGGAAUGAUUGGGCGUAAAGAGUCCGUAGGUGGCUUAUCAAGUCGAUUGUCAAAGCACGAGGCUUAACUUCGUUCAGGCCGU
RNAcentral lists this ribosomal RNA (275 nucleotides) under uncultured bacterium. RNAcentral's name for it is "partial 16S ribosomal RNA". It matches the Rfam family "Bacterial small subunit ribosomal RNA", at positions 338 to 627 of the family's 1533-position model. The record is from RNAcentral.